CCUUACCUUGUCCAUCAUACUUUGGAAGUGUUGACUGAUUAAAACAAUCAAUACUUAUUGAACACUGUGCUGUACUGGAAGGGUUGGUGAACAUCUAAAACAUUCCUUGCCUUCUUCAGGAAGUUAAGAUCUAAUGAGGGAGGUGAAGCAUAUACCUAAAUGACCCUACUCUAGCAUAGUUGGUGAUAGGCCUGCAGAAGGAUCCAGACAGUGAGUGGUACAGCUCUGGCUGGGGUGUUAGAGCAGAACCCAUGGAAAAGGGGGCAGGGGCCCUGACAAAUGGACAUAUUUUCCCUAAGAAAACAUGUGAGAGAGAAAAUACUAUGUAAGAAAAGCUUAACAAAGGGCCACAUAUGAGAUGUUAUGGGGUUGCAGUUUACAUGAAUUUGGGCAUGGGUGGGAUAUAAGGCAGGAAGAGUUGGUUGGAAAAAUUAUGGAGAGCUUUGUGAUAUUUCAGGAAGAAUAUGUAAUCACAAGAGUUUUUUGUGAUGAAUAUCUGUGUUCCGAAGAGCCAUUUGACUGAUUUGGGAAACAAGAAUCCAAUUACUCGUAAAGCUAUCUCAUUGAAAAAAAAAUGAAGCACAAAUAAGUAAUUUUUUUUUAUCAUUCCUUAAAAUUGAUCUCUUCUUUAUCAGGUCAUUUGUGCCACUGUACCAGAUACCACCCAAUUGUAGAAAGUAGAAAAACUUUCUGUGUGAGAAUGGCAGAAGAUCCAAAUAAGACAAGGCUGACAUUCCAAGGGGAGAGGACUACCUGGAUCAUUCCUGUGAACCUCAGUGAGCUUCUAGAGCUGAAAGCCAAUAUCCCUGAUGCACUCUUCAUCAUGGGGAACACUGCAGUGGGGACCCAGCAUUAAAUUUAGAGAUGAAUUCCGUCCAGUUUUCAUAUAUCUACUUAGGCUUCCAGAACUAUGUUUUAUGCACAGCACAGAUGAUGGUAUGUACCGUCUUUUUCAUUGGCUGUUGGUAGGCUAUUAAUAAUUAUAUGCACUGGGCUAAUUUGAGCACUUAAUAGAAUAUAUGACCUCCUAUAUGUGCCCUACUAUGUGUCCUCUAUGAGCUUUUUCAAACUGAAUUAUUCAGCUAUGUCACUGAAUACUGCAUUGUCAUAGGAGCCAUACAGUGGGAAGAUGUAGGUUGUUCCACAUAUAGAGAGAGACUGACUGAAUAAGGACACUUAAGAGAGUGGCUGGCCUGUAGGAAAAGUUCUUGCCAGAGUCAUAAAUUUGCUUAAGGCUCAUCCUAUACCCACACACAUUCACACACACACAAAAAUUCUGGGACACAAAAUUUGAAAAUUUAACUGUAACAACCUUAUUUCUCUUCAUAUUCUUUUCACAGUUUACCAAAUGCUUUCACAUCUUGUUUCUUUUGAUCCUCAUGACAGUCCUGGAAGGUAGACAUAGCAGGUGGUAGCCUUGGGAUCUCCGUUCUCAAUCAAAGGACUGAAGUAACUUCCCCAACUUUGCACAGCUAACACACAAUCAAGUCAGGACUAGAUUCCAGGGUUUCUUACUUUUAGUCAAGUUCUCCUUCCCACAAUGCACCAAAAUAAAGCUAUCUGAGAAACAUAUCCA
RNAcentral lists this long non-coding RNA (1576 nucleotides) under Felis catus (domestic cat). RNAcentral's name for it is "lncRNA (ENSFCAG00000049874.1)". The record is from RNAcentral. Lineage: Eukaryota; Metazoa; Chordata; Mammalia; Carnivora; Felidae.